RNAcentral lists this ribosomal RNA (573 nucleotides) under Saccharomycopsis sp. JCM 16741. RNAcentral's name for it is "eukaryotic LSU rRNA". It matches the Rfam family "Eukaryotic large subunit ribosomal RNA", at positions 62 to 648 of the family's 3401-position model. The record is from RNAcentral. Lineage: Eukaryota; Fungi; Ascomycota; Saccharomycetes; Ascoideales; Saccharomycopsidaceae.
AAACCAACAGGGAUUGCCUUAGUAACGGCGAGUGAAGCGGCAAAAGCUCAAAUUUGAAAUCUAUCACCUUCGGUGUUCGAGUUGUAAUUUGAAGAAAGUGUCCUUGAAUAAUCCUUUAUCUAUGUUCCUUGGAACAGGACGUCAUAGAGGGUGAGAAUCCCGUAUGAUUUUGGAAUCUUAUUCUAUAUAGGACUCUUUCGAAGAGUCGAGUUGUUUGGGAAUGCAGCUCUAAGUGGGUGGUAAAUUCCAUCUAAAGCUAAAUAUUGGCGAGAGACCGAUAGCGAACAAGUACAGUGAUGGAAAGAUGAAAAGACUUCUGAAGAGAGAGUGAAAAAGUACGUGAAAUUGCUGAAAGGGAAGGGCUUGAGGUCAGACUUGGGAUUAACAUCUAGCUAAUCAUUUUGACUAGUCUUAUUAGUUAAUUUCCCGGGCCAAUAUCAGUUUUGUUCAAACAGAGCACCCAUUGGAAUGUGGCUUCUUUUCGAAGAAGUGUUUUAUAGCCUUUGGACGAUCUGCUUAUAAGACUGAGGACUGCGCGAAAGCUAGGAUAUUGGCGUAAUGACCUUAAGCCGC